This 330-nucleotide ribosomal RNA is filed under the name Triticum aestivum (bread wheat). RNAcentral's name for it is "partial small subunit ribosomal RNA". The record is from RNAcentral. Lineage: Eukaryota; Viridiplantae; Streptophyta; Magnoliopsida; Poales; Poaceae.
AUUCGAAAAUUCUGGUGGGGUAGUCGGCGGGGCGAACAAAAAACAUGUUGGGUCUCAUGGGAGGUAAUGACGAGACCAAUAUAUCAAGGAGGGUUGGGAUUUAGAGAUAUUGAGAUUUUCAACAUCGCCCUACUCGCUCGGCAAGCUUGACGAAUUUUGCAAUCUCCAGACACCCUAAGCGUAAAAAUUUUAAAAGCUCUUUAUUUUCCAAUGACUGACUUCCUUGAUGCAGAGCUUGGCACCCAACCUUCUCAAAUCUGGAGGGCGAUCAUAGAGGGAAACAUAAUUGGUUGCCUAGGGAUACAUCCAUGCGCCCCGUUGUUUGCCUAA